This 2387-nucleotide long non-coding RNA is filed under the name Jatropha curcas. RNAcentral describes it as "long non-coding RNA (JCUR_LNC000916)". Lineage: Eukaryota; Viridiplantae; Streptophyta; Magnoliopsida; Malpighiales; Euphorbiaceae. The record is from RNAcentral.
UCAUAUAAAUUAGGAUAUAUAUACAAUAAUUUCACAAUCAUGACCCAGUCUCAAUUAUCUUGAAUACAAUUUAAUCGGGGCUUAAUCACAUGACGUCACAUUCAUAAUAUGGGCUACCAGUUCACAUGCGCUUAAUUAAACAAUAAGAUCAUCCAAAAAAAAAAAAAAAAAAACACAAAACCCUACAACUGUGGAGUUCAACAACAAUUUGAGAGUAGAAUAGUGUACAUAUUUAAUAACACAAUUUAGUUAAUGAUAAUAAUAACAAAAAAAGUUAUAAAUUACUUUUGUAGCUCUGCGAGGAAAAUUACAGAGUUUCAGUCGGUUCAGCAACUUCCUAUUACCUGAGAAAUUUGGACAGAGAGGGGGGUGAGUUUUGCAACUCAAUAAAUAAUAAUAAAUAAUACACAUCACACACAUUCACGCAUAAUGCACUCUAAUAUUCUAAAAUGAGCAUACUACAAUCAAUCAUAUGGCACAACACCAGCACCCAGAAGUAAUGUCACCUUCAAAUAAUCAAACAAGUGAAAAUUAGUCAGUGGUGUCAUCUAAAACCCCAAAGAGCCGUUUUCACACAUGGCUCGCCCUCUCAUACGUGUGCACCAGGGACACGAUUCCCCAUAUCUGGUCGACUGGUCUAAUCCUCACUUGACCAGCCCUCUCAUUGUUUGUCCAUUCUCUCUUUUCUUUUCCAUACCAACAGGAGGCAACCCGGUCGUCUCCGUUAAAUCUAGAUCAUCAGGCGCACACAACAGGAGGCCACCCUGCGGGCUACCAUCAAAUCCAUAUUAUCAGGUGCGCCCAAUAAGAGACCACCCUUUGGUUUUCCAUAUCAUCCAGAUCAUAUCACCAGGUGCACACGGGGUGCCAAUCUCCCAUACGACCAACAGUCUCGUAGACCGUCCUCACAAACCCAUGGUGACCCACUUCAUCCCAAUUUCACACAUACGAGGCACAAUAAUUCACAGCACAAGUAAUCAAGCAAUUCACUUUACAUAAUACACAAAUUCAUAUCAAUGCACAACCGUAAAUAUAUAGUAACAUAUUAUAUUUAUAAAAUAUGCAUAAAAUAUACUGAUGUUAUGAAAAUAAUUAUAUAUAUAAAAAUAUUAAAAUUCUGUUUAUAUAUAUAUAUAGUAUAUAAAAUGCUAUACAAAUGCAAUACUGAUACGUAUUAUUUAUUAUUACUCACAGUAGUGGAAAUUGAAGCUCUAACUCUGAUUCUGACCGAGUGGAGCAAUAGAUGGGCCCGGACAAUCUAAGAAAUUUAAGAAUACAAAGAAAGAAUUUAUAUCAGACAAAGGACUUAUUAAAUUAAGGAAUCAAGAAGUUGAUCUAAUAAACUAUUUACGUAUUUAAUUUCUAAAAAAUAAACUAAUUUCUACAGAAAUUUCGAUAGCAUCUGUCCUAAAAAAUGGACUAUCCACUUGCUAAAACAUCAAUAACUUAUCAUAUAUUUAUCCAGUCCACGCAGCCCAUCCAUCGGGCAAUCAAUCAAUUCAAAUUUCCCAUCCUCCUCCAAUCACAACAUUACCACACAACAAAAAUUUUAUAAUUACAAUAACAUUCCAUCUAAACUAGCUUAAUUCACACUUUAAUUCUAUUAAUAUAUCAUUAUCAAGGUUCCUCAAUUAAAUCAACACUAACAAGAUAUAUGCUAGAAUAUAAUCAAUGCAAAAAUUAAUUAGCUAACCACAAAUACUAAAAAAAUACAUUCUAAAAAUAGUCCAAAAUUCAAUUUAUAUACUCAAUAUAUUGCUGCCGGAAUUUGUUUGACCGGAAAUGGAAGCUACGCGUGCCGGAACGAAGAGCAGGUAAGAGCAGUGGUGUUAAGUCGACCAAAACAAGUUGUUGCGCUCAUCGGAACCGCGAGCAGGUGGCGAGAUCUAACUGGACAGCAGGGGUGUGGUGGCGCGACGGUGCGGUGGUGCAACGCGGUGGUGCUGCGCUCGUUCUUGGUGGGUGGAGACACGCUGAAGCAAUGGCGGAGCUGUGUAGCGGCGAUGGUGCGAUCUGGUGGUGGAGCAGGUGGUGGUGCGAUGCAGUCUUCUUUGAGCUACUGUCUCUGCUUGGUUCGAAUGGAGAGAGGGGCGGAAUGGCGAGCUUUGGCGGCGUCGAGCUGCAGCAGGGAGCGGAGGUGGCGCGCGAGGAGGUCCGAUCUAGCUGGUGUCGAAGCUGCUGCUUCAAGCUUCGCCAGUCACAGGUGCAGAAGCGGACACAGACGCAGGCGCAGGAAAAGAAAGAAGGAAGAAAGAAGGAAGAAAGAAGAAGAAGAAGAAGAAGAAGAGUGGGAGGAGGUGGCGGUGGCAGUGUGUUGGUGGUGCAGGUGGGUCGCUGGCGAUUGGGAAAAUGCAAACAUAGGAAGAAACUGGACUAGCGUUGGAAAU